GACGAACGCUGGCGGCGUGCCUAAUACAUGCAAGUCGAACGAAGCUCUUUUAACUGGUGCUUGCACCGACUUAAACAACUGAGUGGCGAACGGGUGAGUAACACGUGGGUAACCUGCCCCAAAGCGGGGGAUAACAUUUGGAAACAGAUGCUAAUACCGCAUAACCACAGAAACCACAUGGUUUCUGUGUCAAAGAUGGUUUCGGCUAUCACUUUGGGAUGGACCCGCGGCGUAUUAGCUAGUUGGUAAGGUAAUGGCUGACCAAGGCAAUGAUACGUAGCCGAACUGAGAGGUUGAUCGGCCACAUUGGGACUGAGACACGGCCCAAACCCCUACGGGAGUCAGCAGUAGGGAAUCUUCCACAAUGGACGAAAGUCUGAUGGAGCAACGCCGCGUGAGUGAAGAAGGUUUUCGGAUCGUAAAACUCUGUUGUCAGAGAAGAACGUGUGCGAGAGUAACUGUUCGUGCAGUGACGGUAUCUGGCCAGAAAGCCACGGCUAACUACGUGCCAGCCGCCGCGGUAA
Molecule: ribosomal RNA, 524 nt
Filed under: uncultured bacterium
Lineage: Bacteria
Description: partial 16S ribosomal RNA
Rfam family: Bacterial small subunit ribosomal RNA
Source: RNAcentral